RNAcentral lists this small RNA (616 nucleotides) under Pongo abelii (Sumatran orangutan). RNAcentral describes it as "processed transcript". The record is from RNAcentral. Lineage: Eukaryota; Metazoa; Chordata; Mammalia; Primates; Hominidae.
GGAUUUCAUCUCCAAAUUUAUCUUUGUGUUUGUAAUACGUAUAUGUCUUUGUUCCUUCUGGCAUUAUGGACACUAACAUUUUAAUGUUGCUGGUCCUUUCCAGGGUGGACAAGCUUCAUUUACACGAUAUCUGGAGAUGUGUAUAUUGGGCCCGAUGAUGCACAACAAAAAAUAGAACCUCAUCACACAGCAGUGCUUGGAGAAGGUGACAGUGUCCAGGUGGAGAACAAGGAUCCCAAGAGAAGCCACUUUGUCUUAAUUGCUGGGGAGCCAUUAAGAGAACCAGUUGUCCAACAUGGUCCAUUUGUGAUGAACACCAAUGAAGAGAUUUCUCAAGCCAUUCUUGAUUUCAGAAACGCAAAAAAUGGAUUUGAAAGGGCCAAAACCUGGAAAUCAAAGAUUGGGAACUAGUGGAAAGCAGAAGAGCAGGUCUCGAUGUGUCCUAGAAUUUUGCCAUUUGUGAGAUUGAGCCAUUGAAGGCAUUCCAUUUCUAAAGCUUAUUUAGCCGGUGCUUCUAAAGAAUUCCACACUAAAGUGAUAACAUGGUUUUUGUAACAAUAAAUGUAGGAUAUUUCCUGGCACAUGCAAAUAAACCUAAUCAUUGUUUCUUUAAAAA